GGAAACUGUCAGACUUGAGUGCAGAAGAGGACAGUGGAACUCCAUGUGUAGCGGUGGAAUGCGUAGAUAUAUGGAAGAACACCAGUGGCGAAGGCGGCUGUCUGGUCUGCAACUGACGCUGAGGCUCGAAAGCAUGGGUAGCGAACAGGAUUAGAUACCCUGGUAGUCCAUGCCGUAAACGAUGAGUGCUAGGUGUUGGAGGGUUUCCGCCCUUCAGUGCCGCAGCUAACGCAUUAAGCACUCCGCCUGGGGAGUACGACCGCAAGGUUGAAACUCAAAGGAAUUGACGGGGGCCCGCACAAGCGGUGGAGCAUGUGGUUUAAUUCGAAGCUACGCGAAGAACCUUACCAGGUCUUGACAUCUUGCGCCAACCCUAGAGAUAGGGCGUUUCCUUCGGGAACGCAAUGACAGGUGGUGCAUGGUCGUCGUCAGCUCGUGUCGUGAGAUGUUGGGUUAAGUCCCGCAACGAGCGCAACCCUUGUUACUAGUUGCCAGCAUUCAGUUGGGCACUCUAGUGAGACUGCCGGUGACAAACCGGAGGAAGGUGGGGACGACGUCAGAUCAUCAUGCCCCUUAUGACCUGGGCUACACACGUGCUACAAUGGACGGUACAACGAGUCGCGAACUCGCGAGGGCAAGCUAAUCUCUUAAAACCGUUCUCAGUUCGGACUGCAGGCUGCAACUCGCCUGCACGAAGUCGGAAUCGCUAGUAAUCGCGGAUCAGCAUGCCGCGGUGAAUACGUUCCCGGGCCUUGUACACACCGCCCGUCACACCAUGAGAGUUUGCAACACCCAAAGUCGGUGGGGUAACCCUUCGGGGAGCUAGCCGC
RNAcentral lists this ribosomal RNA (830 nucleotides) under Limosilactobacillus mucosae. Its description in RNAcentral is "bacterial SSU rRNA". It matches the Rfam family "Bacterial small subunit ribosomal RNA", at positions 628 to 1456 of the family's 1533-position model. Lineage: Bacteria; Bacillati; Bacillota; Bacilli; Lactobacillales; Lactobacillaceae. The record is from RNAcentral.